GACAUUAUUGACAUUUAGAAAUGCAGUAAUUUGCAUUUCCAUAACUUUUUCAAGAAUCUUACUCAAUGCGGGUAAAAUUGAGAUCGAUCGAAGAUGGGUAGGCUCGGUUGGAUUGUUAACCUUAGGAAGAGGAAUGACGUUAGCACAUUUCCAGGAUUUAGGAAAAUAAGACUGAUCUAUACAUGCAUUUAUAAUAUGCGUAAUAAAAGAUACAAUAUACGGGCAACAUAUAAGUAUAAGUGUUAUAUUUAAUUCAUCACAUCCAAAUGCUCUAGAUUUCAUAUUUUUAAUUAUAUGCAUUAUCAAAGUAUCAGUUAUAGUGUCAAAACUAAACGAAUUAUCAACUAUUUUAUUAUGUUUAUAAAAAUUUAUCAGUUCAACAUCAGGCGCAACAGUAUUGCAUGAUUCAAUGAAAUAUUUAUUCAACAUCGCAUAAAUUUUCAGGUAUAUUUAUAUCUUUUCUUUUGCAUAUAUUUAAUUUUUUCAAUUCAUCCCAUUUGUCUUUAGAAUUAGAGUUUUGAAAUUUGUAAGUAAGGUACGCUCUUUUUUCGGCCCUGAUGGCACAAGUCGUUAAAUUUCUAUACUGUUUAUAUGUCGUUUUGAUUUUCAUGGACAUGAAAAAACAUGUAAUUUUGAAACUUAUUUGCAAUUUGCUAGCUUAGCGUCACUUCUUUCAAGUUACUUUUUUUUAAUAUUUUUUCAGAUUUUUCUGGUUCUAUUAUCUAAUUCUACUGGAGUAUUUGUGAUAACUACCUGCCAAUAUUCCAAAAUUGAGAUGACUUUAAUAGGGGAUCUACUGUGCAACUACAAGUUUUGGGUACCUAUUAUUAUCUUUAUCUGUAUUGCAAUUGCGGUCUACUAUAAGGUAUUUAAAAUACUAGCUGGCUCCCAUGUAAAACCGAUGAACGACAGUGAAUCUUCUCGUGUGAUAUACGACGACGAAGAUAGUCGGUAGGUUAGACUAAGUUAAGGACUUUGACUGCACAAGCAGAAAAGUUGUAAUAAUAAACAUAAACAUAUAGCACAGUUUUCUUGAAUUUUGGUGUGCUGGAUGAAGUGGUACCUACAAAGACGAUAUGGAAUUUUCCAUCGGUAAAAAUAUUUUUACUAAAUUAAAUUCCGGAACUUCCAAUCAACUGUACAACUAUCCUAUUCCAUGGUGGAUAAUGGAUUAUUUGAAAAAUUGUAUGUCUUAUGAAUAGAUCUACUAUGGAUCAAUGGGCACAAAGUCUGAAAGUUCUUGAGACUUUUGAUCCAAGCGAUCAGAACUAUAACAGCAUAGUUUCAAAAAAAAAGCCGAAAGUCGCUUUUCAUAAAAAUGAUAAAACAC
Molecule: long non-coding RNA, 1330 nt
Organism: Anoplophora glabripennis (Asian longhorned beetle)
Lineage: Eukaryota; Metazoa; Arthropoda; Insecta; Coleoptera; Cerambycidae
Exons: 4
Source: RefSeq, a predicted model, not a curated record